UUGAAGUAUUUAUCUACAGGCAGUUCUGGUCAGUUGUCAGCACCCAGUGAAGAGUUCGGGAGAGGGGUGCCCCUGCAGUGUAAGGAGGGUAAGGAGGUUUUGGGGCGAGCCUGGUUUGGUGCCUGCGCCCUCUCAGGCGCUGGUUUCCGUGUGUGGCGUCGCCGUGCGUGGCGCACCCCCGCCACCCGGCCGGUCGGGUCCCAGAGAAGCACACGUUUGAUUUUAUUUAAUUUUACUUUCACAGAGCGCCUCAGCAAUGAAAGCGCGGGCUUGCAGCCGCCCCGGGGGCCAGGGAGCACCUCAGCACCCGCUCGGCCGGGCCCGGCUCCCCGCCGGCACCUGAGGGCAGGGGCCGGGCGGCACGGGCGGGGCCGGCCCUCACAUGCGCGGCGCCGCGGGGGCCAUUGGCCGCUGCCGGGCGGCGGGCGGUGCUCCGGGACGCGGGACCGGCCCCCGCCGGCUGCCGGUGCCGUCCGUGCCGCCGAGCCAUGCGGGUGCGCGCCGCAUGCGGAGAGCGCGCUGCAGGGCGCCGCUAGGAGCCGAGCCCCGCCCGGCCCGGCCCGGCCCGGCUCGGCCCGGCCGCUCCCCUCGCCGCAUGGCAGCGCCGCGGGAGUGAGCGACCGCGGAGAAGGAAGGUCUUCUCGUUCCUUCGUGCAGUGCAUCGAGGUCCCGUUCGAAGCCAGUGGCUGUCAAUGGAUUUUGAAUCAGGUCCUGUGUUGCUGGCUGAGGCUUUUUGCCCUGCAUGCUGCCAGUUCCUCCUGCUGCUCGCUGACGGCUUCCCUGGGACCUCCGGAGGCAGAGUGCUGACUCGGUGCCUCGGCUUCCUCCUGCACCUCUGAUAGCAGAGGGCUUGGCAGGGAAACUGACUAAUGCGUGGAAACUGGCUGAUCACGAAGGGUUAAUUAGUGUCCUGAGGCUUAAACCUUUUUAUCAGUGGGGCUGGUGAUGGCUGUUUUGCUGAAAAGUAGCUUGAGUCACAAAUGGUGUCACGGGGGAAGCCAGUAAGCUAUUUUCUCAACUAGAGGCAGACAGAAAGGAGUUCCACGUAGUUAGCACUGCUUUUGCCAAGCAGUGAACUUGAAAGGUUUUUCUUUUCUGUUCAAAAGAACAAUCUGUAUCUUCCAGUGAAUUCAUAAAAAUACCGUGGAUUCCUAAAUAUUCAUAAAACAUAACUAGCAGUAUUUACCUGAUGUUCAAAUGUUACUAUAUAAUGUAGAAAGAAUAAAGCACGUUAAGCUUCUGCUGUUUAAAUUUCUCCUUUUUUUUGUCAGCAUCAGAACUAGACUGCACUAGUUCUCCUUUUUUUUUUUUUUUUUUUUUGUCUCUUGGCUGUGGAGAGAUUAUAACCUAGCAAAAAAAAAAAAUAAUGCUAUUGAUAUAUUAAGAAAAAUGGAAAUAGUUUUCCCCAGAAUCUUUGCAUUUAGAUAAAGACUUGUCUGUGCUUUUGCAUAACUGACAUCUUAAACGUUUUUUUUCUAACAAGCAGUGAAAAGUCUGUGGACUUCACCAUGCAAAGACUUGUGCAUAUGACUAAUUGUCUGCACGUGUAUGGUCUCAUGAGCAUGCAUGCAUGCAAAAGGCUCUCUGGGGCCACAGCAGUGGUGCUUGAUUUUGCAAGUAUUUAUUCCUGGCUGUGAUGUUCAGCUGCUGUGGGCCUGUACCUGUAAGUAUUUGCCAGAAAAGGGCUGAAAUACAGAGAAGGAUGUUUGUGAAAUACAGUUUUCUAGCAGCUUCCAGCAUUAUAUUCCUAAAAGCCAACGGUAGGUAUUGUUUUAAAGCAGUUCCACACCUCGUACCUCGAGAACACUUUGAGCCACGUUUUUUCCAAGUUUGACUUGUCUGCAUUGGGGACGGGUUUGGCUCACGAUCUUUUGGUCUAAGCAAAUUGAGUGCAAUUUUCUUUUAACCAUAUAACAAAGAAUAGGUACUGAUUGCUUGCCAAAUAAUUUUUCCCCUCAGAGAUUACAAACAAAUUUAGGAAAGAACAAAGCCAGGAUUUCUAGUGUUUGACUUGUUGAGAAUCAUCUUGGGGUUUGGCACGUUAAAAAGCAAAGUGCGUCACGAGUCAAGUUGGUGCUUUCUAAUACCAUCAGUAAUACUAAUUUCCACAUCAUUAAUUUUAACUGACACUGCUUCAAUCUUUCUCUCGACACAACUUUCUUUAAUUAAAAGAAUCAAGAUUCUUUUCAGUUAUUUUUGUAUUCUUUUCAACUGUGCUCUUCCAGUCUUGAAACAGUAGGUUGCUGGCCCCCUUCAGGAAGCAGAUAGGGAAGACAACUCAAAUGCCCUCAUGUAGCAGCUCCCCAAGUGGUGAGGGAAACAUCCUUGCAAGGAGGAAGCUUGUUUGCUUGGACUCAGCCAGCAGAAGGCUUCUUUUGCUCACACUUGGAGGAAAGCAGUGGUACGGGAAGAGGGCACGGCUGCACCAAGGACCUGUUUUUUGGCACUUCUCUAAAAGAAGUACCUCCCCUUUUCUUCCUCCUUUUCGUGUACAAUCUAGGCUGUGAAAACCUGUUGUUCAUGUAGUCUCAGAACUGUUGCUACCUACAGUUUUCCUUCUUUCUACUCGAGCCACUUUCCUCAGAAGUGGUUUGCUGUAAGGCUGGAAUAGUUGUGAUGCUCAGGAUUUCAGAAACAAUCACGUUACAGCGACCUUAGGGAAGGAGAAAAGUUAUCUGUUGCUCAGAUAUUUUUCUUUUCUGAGACCUCUUUUUUGGUGAAGGUAGCUCUGAUGAAGAAGCAGAAAAAAUAACCAGGCUGAGAGCAUACGGCAUCUAGCAGUGAGUGAGGAUAGCAGUCACCUUUAUUCCCCAUGGUCCUGCAUUUUGUGUUGUGUGAUCGGCAGAGGAAAUGGUCCGGUUUUUGUGACCUGUCUUGCUCCUUCAUAGUGUUAAGAACGAACACUUUCCCUAUGUGGUCUCUGUUAAAAGUUGUGCAUCUUGGCUGUUCUGCCUUACAGAGGUCUCCCUUGAAGGCCAGGAAGCUGCAGUGGAAGAUUUCCCAGACCCAGGGGGCAGGCAUAACAGCUAAUGAAGUGUUACUUCUUUCUGUUAUUGUCAUGUAUCUCUUAAAACUGAUUGCCUAGUAUUUAAAUUUGAAAAAGCUGCGUGCUUCUCAAACCAGGGUUCUAAACAGCCUUAAUAUAAAUCCCUCUCUCCUCACUUGCUCAGGAUUUUUCUGCCUGGGUUGUGUGUCCUGGUUUUCCUGUGUUGAGGUUAAGGUUGGGGGCUGCCUGAAUGCUGUGUUACAUGUCUUACCUACAACUCCCAUUGAGCUGGCAAGUAUGAGGAGACCUGCAGCAGACUGUGUCCCCGAGCAUCUGCUGGAUCCCUCCCCUAUUCUAUUCAGUGGAGAUAGACACAGAAAGGAAAAAGCACAAAUGUGGAAGCUCUUCGUAGCCUUUCCAACGAAGCAGCAGGGCAGGCUCCUACCCACCCCCAUGCAACCAAAUGGCUGCAAAGCCCCAGCCAAGAUGCCUUUUUUUUUUUUUUUCCCUUGGACUUCAUUCUUAACAAGUUAGCACUGAGAUAAGUUUCUCUAUAAAAGAUGUUCUUGAUUGCCCUUGGGUUCUGCAGAAGACAGGACUGGCACACCUUUGGUGUUUUCAAGCCUGGCUGAUGCCACAGAUACCAACAUGCCUGCUGAAAGCAGUGUGGGUUUUUUUUUUUUUGGGUGGGCUUCAUUUGACAAACUUCAUUCUUGCUGCAGUGAUUUUUCCCAUCUUCCGAUUAUAGUUGUAAGGAGAAAACA
Molecule: long non-coding RNA, 3750 nt
Organism: Cairina moschata (Muscovy duck)
Lineage: Eukaryota; Metazoa; Chordata; Aves; Anseriformes; Anatidae
Source: Ensembl